Molecule: transfer RNA, 73 nt
Filed under: Chelonus insularis
Lineage: Eukaryota; Metazoa; Arthropoda; Insecta; Hymenoptera; Braconidae
Description: tRNA-Met
Rfam family: tRNA
About the family: Transfer RNA (tRNA) molecules are approximately 80 nucleotides in length. Their secondary structure includes four short double-helical elements and three loops (D, anti-codon, and T loops). Further hydrogen bonds mediate the characteristic L-shaped molecular structure. tRNAs have two regions of fundamental functional importance: the anti-codon, which is responsible for specific mRNA codon recognition, and the 3' end, to which the tRNAs corresponding amino acid is attached (by aminoacyl-tRNA synthetases). tRNAs cope with the degeneracy of the genetic code in two manners: having more than one tRNA (with a specific anti-codon) for a particular amino acid; and 'wobble' base-pairing, i.e. permitting non-standard base-pairing at the 3rd anti-codon position.
Source: RNAcentral
GUCCCAGUAGCGCAGUAGGCAGCGCGUAAGUCUCAUAAUCUUAAGGUCGUGAGUUCGAUCCUCACCUGGGGCA